This 293-nucleotide ribosomal RNA is filed under the name uncultured bacterium. Its description in RNAcentral is "partial 16S ribosomal RNA". It matches the Rfam family "Bacterial small subunit ribosomal RNA", at positions 198 to 509 of the family's 1533-position model. The record is from RNAcentral.
GGGUCAAAGGAGCAAUCCGGUGAAGGGUGGGCUCGCGUCCGAUUAGAUAGUUGGUGAGGUAACGGCCCACCAAGUCGACGAUCGGUAGCCGACCUGAGAGGGUGAUCGGCCACAUUGGGACUGAGACACGGCCCAAACUCCUACGGGAGGCAGCAGUGGGGAAUAUUGGGCAAUGGGGGAACCCUGACCCAGCAACGCCGCGUGAGGGAAGAAGGUUUUCGGAUCGUAAACCUCUGUCCCUAGGUGAAGAGGAAGAGACGGUAGCCAGGAGGAAGCCCGGCUAACUACGUGCC